Molecule: long non-coding RNA, 213 nt
Filed under: Amborella trichopoda
Lineage: Eukaryota; Viridiplantae; Streptophyta; Magnoliopsida; Amborellales; Amborellaceae
Description: long non-coding RNA (ATRI_LNC005191)
Source: RNAcentral
UUUCAACCAAUCUACAUGGCCAAAUCUAAGUAUUCAAAAAUUUAUAAUUCGAUUUCUUUAUUGAAAGCAUCACGACUAAGACUAAAUCCUAAACUCUGAAAUCGAAAAAUCCAUGCUGAGUACGUCUUUUGGUCUUGUAAAUGUACAGCAUGCUCCUGUGCGAGUGCAACAUCUCUACUCAAAAGCUAAAAACCAUAUCAGAUACACUCUCUC